CCCUUAGAUGUUCUGGGCCGCACGCGUGCUACACUGAGUGGAUCAGCGGGUCAGGUUGCGCUAAAGCGUUUCCUAAUCUUUAAAUCCGCUCGUGAUGGGGAUUGACGGUUGCAAUUUUCUGUCAUGAACGAGGAAUACCUUGUAAGCGCGGGUCAUCAUCCCGCGCUGAAUACGUCCCUGCCCUUUGUACACACCGCCCGUCGCUCCUACCGAUUGAGUGGUCCGGUGAGGCUUUGGGAUCUGAGCGGAAAGAGCGUUUCGCUGUUUCUGCUCGGAAAACUCAGUCGAACCUUAUCAUUUAGAGGAAGGAGAAGUCGUAACA
Molecule: ribosomal RNA, 322 nt
Filed under: uncultured eukaryote
Lineage: Eukaryota
Description: partial 18S ribosomal RNA
Rfam family: Eukaryotic small subunit ribosomal RNA
Source: RNAcentral